Molecule: ribosomal RNA, 434 nt
Filed under: uncultured bacterium
Lineage: Bacteria
Description: bacterial SSU rRNA
Rfam family: Bacterial small subunit ribosomal RNA
Source: RNAcentral
AACGAACGCUGGCGGCAUGCCUAACACAUGCAAGUCGAACGAGACCUUCGGGUCUAGUGGCGCACGGGUGCGUAACGCGUGGGAAUCUGCCCUUGGGUUCGGAAUAACAGUGAGAAAUUACUGCUAAUACCGGAUGAUGACUUCGGUCCAAAGAUUUAUCGCCCAAGGAUGGGCCCGCGUAGGAUUAGGUAGUUGGUGGGGUAAUGGCCUACCAAGCCGACGAUCCUUAGCUGGUCUGAGAGGAUGAUCAGCCACACUGGGACUGAGACACGGCCCAGACUCCUACGGGAGGCAGCAGUGGGGGAAUAUUGGACAAUGGGCGAAAGCCUGAUCCAGCAAUGCCGCGUGAGUGAUGAAGGCCUUAGGGUUGUAAAGCUCUUUUACCAGGGAUGAUAAUGACAGUACCUGGAGAAUAAGCUCCGGCUAACUCCGUG